RNAcentral lists this unclassified non-coding RNA (234 nucleotides) under plant metagenome. RNAcentral's name for it is "partial contains small subunit ribosomal RNA, internal transcribed spacer 1, and 5.8S ribosomal RNA". The record is from RNAcentral.
UUUCCGUAGGUGAACCUGCGGAAGGAUCAUUAAAGUUAUAGUCCCCUGGCCCUCUGGGCUGGGGUCUUCUAUACCACCCUUUGUUUAUUACACCUUUGUUGCUUUGGCAGGCCUGCCCUCGGGCUGCUGGCUCUGGCCGGCGAGCGCCUGCCAGAGGACCUAAACUCUGUUUGUCUAUAAUGUCUGAGUACUAUAUAAUAGUUAAAACUUUCAACAACGGAUCUCUUGGUUCUG